AUUGAACGCUGGCGGCAGGCCUAACACAUGCAAGUCGAGCGGAGCGGCGGACGGGUGAGAAAUGACUAGGAAUCUGCCUGGUAGUGGGGGAUAACGUCCGGAAACGGGCGCUAAUACCGCAUACUAUCAGAUGAGUCUAGGUCGGAUUAGCUAGUUGGGGGGGUAAAGGCCUACCAAGGCGACGAUCCGUAACUGGACUGAGAUGAUGAUCAGUCACACUGGGACUGAGACACGGUCCAGACUCCUACGGGAGGCAGCAGUGGGGAAUAUUGGGCAAUGGGCGAAAGCCUGAUCCAGCCAUGCCGCGUAUGUGAAGAAGGUCUUCGGAUUGUAGAGCACUUUAAGUUGGGAAGCGUUACCAACAGAAUAAGCACCGGCUAACUUCGUGCCAGCAGCCGCGGUAAUAC
Molecule: ribosomal RNA, 407 nt
Filed under: uncultured bacterium
Lineage: Bacteria
Description: partial 16S ribosomal RNA
Rfam family: Bacterial small subunit ribosomal RNA
Source: RNAcentral